Cajanus cajan (pigeon pea) is the source of this 558-nucleotide non-coding RNA. The record is from RefSeq and is a predicted model, not a curated record. NCBI's taxonomy places the organism in Eukaryota, Viridiplantae, Streptophyta, Magnoliopsida, Fabales, Fabaceae.
UUGUCCCUCCCAUCCCUGUUCUCCCUUUUCACCUAGAAGCAAAUUUAAAGGAACAGCCAAGGCAGCAGAGUGACUUUACCUUCUUGUUGGAUCUUUCUUUGGCUUCUUCCUAUUUAGGUAAGAAUGAGGGCCUGUGAGUGGAUAGAGUCAUGGAUUGCACCUUCCUUUUCAAAUCAUGCAAGCUAUUGUGGAGGAAAUGGAAACAGAACAUGAGUAGUGAGAGAGCAAUGCAAUGGAGUUUCUCUGUUUCGUUUGGAUGGGUGGAGCACAAUUGGCGUUGGUUUCUCACUUCAUAGUUACAUUCACAAUUUCACAGACUUAAAGAACAACAGGAACUUUUAAUUUUGACUAUUCAAAAUUAACUGCACCGUCUCAAAUUGGAAUUUGGAAUUCCACAAUUCAAUUAGAGCCACAAGUUGAAAUGAUAUUUACUACAAUUCUGCUGUUUGUGAGUUGUCAAUUAAUAUUAUAAUGUUUUGUGAAGCCUAUAAAAGGCUAAUCGUGUACCGAGUAUGUAGUAUCAUAUUUCAAAUUGAGAUAUAUUGAAGUAAACUCUCU